RNAcentral lists this ribosomal RNA (1506 nucleotides) under metagenome. Its description in RNAcentral is "bacterial SSU rRNA". It matches the Rfam family "Bacterial small subunit ribosomal RNA". The record is from RNAcentral.
AGAGUUUGAUCCUGGCUCAGGACGAACGCUGGCGGCGUGCCUAAUGCAUGCAAGUAGAACGCUGAAGAGAGGAGCUUGCUCUUCUUGGAUGAGUUGCGAACGGGUGAGUAACGCGUAGGUAACCUGCCUUGUAGCGGGGGAUAACUAUUGGAAACGAUAGCUAAUACCGCAUAACAAUGGAUGACCCAUGUCAUUUAUUUGAAAGGGGCAAAUGCUCCACUACAAGAUGGACCUGCGUUGUAUUAGCUAGUAGGUGAGGUAACGGCUCACCUAGGCGACGAUACAUAGCCGACCUGAGAGGGUGAUCGGCCACACUGGGACUGAGACACGGCCCAGACUCCUACGGGAGGCAGCAGUAGGGAAUCUUCGGCAAUGGGGGCAACCCUGACCGAGCAACGCCGCGUGAGUGAAGAAGGUUUUCGGAUCGUAAAGCUCUGUUGUAAGUCAAGAACGAGUGUGAGAGUGGAAAGUUCACACUGUGACGGUAGCUUACCAGAAAGGGACGGCUAACUACGUGCCAGCAGCCGCGGUAAUACGUAGGUCCCGAGCGUUGUCCGGAUUUAUUGGGCGUAAAGCGAGCGCAGGCGGUUUGAUAAGUCUGAAGUUAAAGGCUGUGGCUCAACCAUAGUUCGCUUUGGAAACUGUCAAACUUGAGUGCAGAAGGGGAGAGUGGAAUUCCAUGUGUAGCGGUGAAAUGCGUAGAUAUAUGGAGGAACACCGGUGGCGAAAGCGGCUCUCUGGUCUGUAACUGACGCUGAGGCUCGAAAGCGUGGGGAGCGAACAGGAUUAGAUACCCUGGUAGUCCACGCCGUAAACGAUGAGUGCUAGGUGUUGGAUCCUUUCCGGGAUUCAGUGCCGCAGCUAACGCAUUAAGCACUCCGCCUGGGGAGUACGACCGCAAGGUUGAAACUCAAAGGAAUUGACGGGGGCCCGCACAAGCGGUGGAGCAUGUGGUUUAAUUCGAAGCAACGCGAAGAACCUUACCAGGUCUUGACAUCCCGAUGCUAUUUCUAGAGAUAGAAAGUUACUUCGGUACAUCGGUGACAGGUGGUGCAUGGUUGUCGUCAGCUCGUGUCGUGAGAUGUUGGGUUAAGUCCCGCAACGAGCGCAACCCCUAUUGUUAGUUGCCAUCAUUCAGUUGGGCACUCUAGCGAGACUGCCGGUAAUAAACCGGAGGAAGGUGGGGAUGACGUCAAAUCAUCAUGCCCCUUAUGACCUGGGCUACACACGUGCUACAAUGGUUGGUACAACGAGUUGCGAGUCGGUGACGGCAAGCUAAUCUCUUAAAGCCAAUCUCAGUUCGGAUUGUAGGCUGCAACUCGCCUACAUGAAGUCGGAAUCGCUAGUAAUCGCGGAUCAGCACGCCGCGGUGAAUACGUUCCCGGGCCUUGUACACACCGCCCGUCACACCACGAGAGUUUGCAACACCCGAAGUCGGUGAGGUAACCUUUUGGAGCCAGCCGCCUAAGGUGGGAUAGAUGAUUGGGGUGAAGUCGUAACAAGGUA